Molecule: unclassified non-coding RNA, 335 nt
Filed under: soil metagenome
Description: partial contains 5.8S ribosomal RNA, internal transcribed spacer 2, and large subunit ribosomal RNA
Rfam family: 5.8S ribosomal RNA (bases 1-119)
Source: RNAcentral
GAUGAAGAACGUAGUGAAAUGCGAUAAGUAGUGUGAAUUGCAGAAUUCAGUGAAUCAUCGAAUCUUGAACGCACAUUGCGCCCCUUGGUAUUCCAUGGGGCAUGCCUGUUCGAGCGUCAUUUGUACCUUCAAGCUUUGCUUGGUGUUGGGUGUUUGUCUCGCCUUUGCGUGUAGACUCGCCUUAAAAUAAUUGGCAGCCGGCGUAUUGAUUUCGGAGCGCAGUACAUCUCGCGCUUUGCACUCAUAACGACAGCGUCCAAAAGUACAUUUUACACUCUUGACCUCGGAUCAGGUAGGGAUACCCGCUGAACUUAAGCAUAUCAAUAAGCGGAGGA